RNAcentral lists this long non-coding RNA (1531 nucleotides) under Salmo salar (Atlantic salmon). RNAcentral's name for it is "lncRNA (ENSSSAG00000113669.1)". Lineage: Eukaryota; Metazoa; Chordata; Actinopteri; Salmoniformes; Salmonidae. The record is from RNAcentral.
UGGCGGGCAACCGACAGCGUCAUUGCAUCAGUACUGCAAUAAAUUCUGCAGUCAAACUUUGUUCAUUAUGCAAUUCAACAUUUUAGUGGAUGUGUGAGCAACAAAAGUUCAACACUCACCUUUUGUCACUAUUUCUGGAAAGUCUACGCAUACAAUUUGACGCAAACGUUGGAUAACUCCAAUGUAUAUACACCACAGAGAAACCACUACAACUGUAUGGCGUCAAAUCCGAUUAAAAAAAGUCGAACGGGCGCCAUCGCGCGAGAAAGCAAGAUGAAACAUCAUUGCGCAGUCAAACACUUUUACCGAGAGAAAAUGUGGUCGAGCGAGCAUAGGACGUUUUCCGAGAGCGCAGGCCAACGUGGUGUGCGCAAAUUAAACUUGAGGACUUGCAAGUGUGACUUUGAGCGAGCGCAACUGCAUUAAAUGAAUUUGACAGCAGAGACUUUUGUUUGCCUGAAGAAAUACUUACUACAUGUCAAGACUCAGAAAUGACUGCACUGUCACAAAUAUGCCGCUUCCACACACGGAUGUAUUUUCAUCCCACUCACACCAAUUUUCCAGUCUGUUCUCCAAAACCCAUUUUGCUCUCGCAACCGCUUACUAUAAUUUUAGAACAGGGGGACAUUUUGACCAUACAGAUGAAAGAGGACGGUGAAAGAUGAACGAUGACUGACAAUAAUAAAGAGGUCUACUGUCACAAGUAUGUGGUGGUGAAGUUGUUCUCUGCCCAGCUGACAGAGACAGGAGAUACAGAGACAGGAGUCCAUUCUAUUACAAAAAGAUCAUGUUUGACCAGGUGGAGUCAGGCUUCUACUUCAUCGCCCUGGACCACUACACGAACGAGCCAGAAGACGUUAAGUUUGGACCAAUUGUCCAGUCUGCUGAGAGGGUCAUUGGCUGCCACCUGCCCUCCAUUAAGGUUCCUGCACGACUCCAGGGUAAGGAAGCGUGCAGGAAAGAUCAUCGCCAACCCCUUCCACCCUUUCUUCCAAAGACUCCCAUCUGGCAAACGGUUCAAGUCAAUCACGAUCGAAACUUCCCGCCACCUGAACCGUUUCUUCCCCCGUGCUAUGGCCCUCACCAACCGGCCACCUGGUCCACAAUGAUCCUCUCAUCCAUGGACUCUGCGUUAUUCAUCCAGACUAUGCACCGUGCGCUAUCAUCUUACAUUCAUCAUUUAUAAUGUAGCUUAUAGUGUUCAUACUGAAUGUGGAUCUAUGGAAAUUCUGCAUAUAUAUUUUUGGGCUGUUUAUUAUGGCAGCACCAUUUCACAGAGUCAAAUUCCUGUACAUGCACAUUUCUGGCGAAUAAAACUGAUUCUGAUUCUAAAGCUGAUUCUAAAGCUGGUUUAUCAUAUGUCAGUUUAGAUUUUAAGUGAUAAUGCAAGAGAAGCCGGUGUUUGGAGGACAUAUUGGCACUGGUGUUGUUAUGCCCGAGACAAAGUCUAAAUGUUCCUUUGCCAUACUGGCUGGCAAUGUUAUUUUUCCUUGCUUGCUAACUAGCCAACUACAGCUAAAAUACGAUCACG